RNAcentral lists this ribosomal RNA (497 nucleotides) under uncultured bacterium. RNAcentral describes it as "partial 16S ribosomal RNA". It matches the Rfam family "Bacterial small subunit ribosomal RNA", at positions 28 to 507 of the family's 1533-position model. The record is from RNAcentral.
GAUGAACGCUGGCGGCGUGCCUAAUACAUGCAAGUCGAGCGAACAGACGAGGAGCUUGCUCCUCUGACGUUAGCGGCGGACGGGUGAGUAACACGUGGAUAACCUACCUAUAAGACUGGGAUAACUUCGGGAAACCGGAGCUAAUACCGGAUAAUAUAUUGAACCGCAUGGUUCAAUAGUGAAAGACGGUUUUGCUGUCACUUAUAGAUGGAUCCGCGCCGCAUUAGCUAGUUGGUAAGGUAACGGCUUACCAAGGCAACGAUGCGUAGCCGACCUGAGAGAGUGAUCGGCCACACUGGAACUGAGACACGGUCCAGACUCCUACGGGAGGCAGCAGUAGGGAAUCUUCCGCAAUGGGCGAAAGCUUGACGGAGCAACGCCGCGUGAGUGAUGAAGGUCUUCGGAUCGUAAAACUCUGUUAUUAGGGAAGAACAAAUGUGUAAGUAACUAUGCACGUCUUGACGGUACCUAAUCAGAAAGCCACGGCUAACUACGUG